CGGCGAGUAGCCCAGCUUGGUAGUGCAACUGGUUUGGGACCAGUGGGUCGGAGGUUAGUAUCCUCUUACGCCGGCCA
This 77-nucleotide transfer RNA is filed under the name Enterobacter cloacae complex sp. 2DZ2F20B. RNAcentral's name for it is "tRNA-Pro". It matches the Rfam family "tRNA". From Rfam's summary of the family: Transfer RNA (tRNA) molecules are approximately 80 nucleotides in length. Their secondary structure includes four short double-helical elements and three loops (D, anti-codon, and T loops). Further hydrogen bonds mediate the characteristic L-shaped molecular structure. tRNAs have two regions of fundamental functional importance: the anti-codon, which is responsible for specific mRNA codon recognition, and the 3' end, to which the tRNAs corresponding amino acid is attached (by aminoacyl-tRNA synthetases). tRNAs cope with the degeneracy of the genetic code in two manners: having more than one tRNA (with a specific anti-codon) for a particular amino acid; and 'wobble' base-pairing, i.e. permitting non-standard base-pairing at the 3rd anti-codon position. Lineage: Bacteria; Pseudomonadati; Pseudomonadota; Gammaproteobacteria; Enterobacterales; Enterobacteriaceae. The record is from RNAcentral.